RNAcentral lists this ribosomal RNA (597 nucleotides) under Tremella sp. RNAcentral describes it as "LSU rRNA". It matches the Rfam family "Eukaryotic large subunit ribosomal RNA", at positions 62 to 648 of the family's 3401-position model. Lineage: Eukaryota; Fungi; Basidiomycota; Tremellomycetes; Tremellales; Tremellaceae. The record is from RNAcentral.
AAACUAACAAGGAUUCCCCUAGUAACGGCGAGUGAACCGGGAAGAGCUCAAAUUUGUAAUCUGGCGUCCUCAGGGCGUCCGAGUUGUAAUCUACAGAAGUGUUUUCCGUGCCGGACCGUGUCCAAGUCCCUUGGAACAGGGUAUCAAAGAGGGUGACAAUCCCGUACUUGACACGACGACCGGUGCUCUGUGAUACACUUUCUACGAGUCGAGUUGUUUGGGAAUGCAGCUCAAAAUGGGUGGUGAAUUCCAUCUAAGGCUAAAUAUUGGCGAGAGACCGAUAGCGAACAAGUACCGUGAGGGAAAGAUGAAAAGCACUUUGGAAAGAGAGUUAAACAGUACGUGAAAUUGUUGAAAGGGAAACGAUUGAAGUCAGUCGUGACCUCUGGAUUCAACCGGCUCUGCCGGUGUAUUUCCUCUGGUCGGGUCAACAUCAGUUUGGAUCGGUGGAUAAGGGUGGUGGGAAUGUGGCACCUCCGGGUGUGUUAUAGCCCGCCAUCGCAUACAUCGGCCCAGACUGAGGCAUGCAGCUCGCCUUCAUGGCCGGGGUUCGCCCACGUUCGAGCUUAGGAUGUUGACAUAAUGGCUUUAAACGAC